Molecule: ribosomal RNA, 251 nt
Filed under: uncultured prokaryote
Description: partial 16S rRNA
Rfam family: Bacterial small subunit ribosomal RNA
Source: RNAcentral
ACGUAGGUGGCGAGCGUUGUCCGGAAUUACUGGGUGUAAAGGGUGCGCAGGCGGGACGACAAGUUGGAUGUGAAAUCUCCCGGCUCAACUGGGGGGAUGCAUUCAAAACUGUUGUUCUUGAGUGAGGUAGAGGCUGGCGGAAUUUCCGGUGUAGCGGUGAAAUGCGUAGAUAUCGGGAGGAACACCAGUGGCGAAGGCGGCCAGCUGGGCCUUUACUGACGCUGAGGCACGAAAGCAUGGGUAGCAAACAG